This 424-nucleotide ribosomal RNA is filed under the name Pimoa edenticulata. Its description in RNAcentral is "partial large subunit ribosomal RNA". It matches the Rfam family "Bacterial large subunit ribosomal RNA", at positions 1848 to 2597 of the family's 2925-position model. The record is from RNAcentral. Lineage: Eukaryota; Metazoa; Arthropoda; Arachnida; Araneae; Pimoidae.
AUAAGUAAAAUCUGCUCAAUGAAAAUUAAAUAGCCGCAGAAUUUUACUGUGCUAAGGUAGCAUAAUCAUUAGCCUUUUAAUUAAAGGCAAGUAUGAAAGAUUUAACAUUUUAGUAACUUUUUUUUACAAACAAUUUUUAAUUUAUACUAAACAUAAAAAUAUGUUUAUAGAUAUAUUAGACGACAAGACCCUAUUGAACUUUACUAUUCGUUAAGCUGGGGCAGCUUUUUAAUAAUUAUUUUAUUAAAUUUAAUAAAUCACUUAAUCCAAUAAAAUUGAAAAUGAACAAGUUACCAUAGGGAUAACAGCGUAAUAAUUCUUUGAAGCUCUUAUUUAAAGAUAAGAUUGCGACCUCGAUGUUGAAUUAAUUUUACUUAACAGCGCAAUAGCUUAAAAAGUGGGUCUGUUCGACCUUUAAAAAAUU